Molecule: long non-coding RNA, 873 nt
Filed under: Glycine max (soybean)
Lineage: Eukaryota; Viridiplantae; Streptophyta; Magnoliopsida; Fabales; Fabaceae
Description: long non-coding RNA (GMAX_LNC003095)
Source: RNAcentral
UGUGUUUCAUCUACUCUAUCUUGAUCCAUAUAUUCCAUAGGAACUGUUUAUUUUUGUGAGCGGGGGGUGAUAAAAGAAAGAUUUAUUCUAAAGAGGAGGAAAAAAUACUAGCGAGGAGGAUAUCAUUGGGCCUAAGAGGCUAAAAAAUGAAAAAUGCAACUAAAAACUUCGUACCCCAUUGCCCAGAGGCUCUUCGCUAUGCGAAGGUAUGGGGGAGGGAUGUUGUACGCAGCCUUACCCUUGCAUAUGCAAAGAGGCUGUUUCCGGAUUCGAACCCAUGACCAACAAGUCACCAAGGCACAACUUUACCGCUGCACCAGGGCUCGCCCUCAAAAAAAUGAAAAAUGCAACAAAGCUGCUAAUUUCUUUAUAUAUGAAGGAGACUCCCUUACAAACUAUAUGGGUAUGGUUGUGGCAAGGAAGUGAAAUUACGCCCAUGAAUAAGGAUAUGAGAGAUUAUGGAGAAAAAAUAAACAAGCUUCAUAGUGUAAGGAGCUAGUCUCCAGCUAUUACCCUAGCUUUCUUUUUCAUUUUCUUGGGUUGCCACUCUGUAACAGAGGUUUAUACCUCUGAUAUAGUUCUAAUUGAGUAUCAACAUUAGUUUUACCAUCCUUAUUCUGGUUCCUGACAACAUUAGUUUAUUCUUCUAAACGAUUGUACUGUAAAACUAGUUUUGAACAGAGCUUAAUGGCAUUGAUUGAUUAAUUAUCCCAAUACCUAAUGGGAUAAGGCUUGGCUGCUGUUGUAGGCAUAAAUUUCAUAGGAGUAUCUUUGGGGUGACUCAAGUUUUGAGAUUUUGGAAAAGUCAGGAAAAUAAGUUUAUUUACUUGGACCUUUGGCAUAUAUUAUAAUAUUGCUAAAUUUGGAAUGAAG